Molecule: ribosomal RNA, 411 nt
Filed under: uncultured microorganism
Description: bacterial SSU rRNA
Rfam family: Archaeal small subunit ribosomal RNA
Source: RNAcentral
GUGCAGCAGGCGAGAAACCUCCGCAAUACACGAAAGUGUGACGGGGCCAUCCCGAGUGCCGUCCGCUGAGGACGGCUUUUUCCCCAGUGUACACAGCUGGGGGAAUAAGGAGAGGGCAAGCCUGGUGUCAGCCGCCGCGGUAAUACCAGCUCUCCGAGUGGUGGGGACGCUUAUUGGGCCUAAAGCAUCCGUAGCCGGCUGGGCAAGUCCUCCGUUAAAUCCAACGAUUCAAUCGUUGGGCUGCGGGGGAUACUGUCCAGCUUGGGGGCGGAGAGGCCGACGGUAUUCCCGGGGUAGGGGUGAAAUCCUAUAACUCCCGGGAGACCACCAGUGGCGAAGGCUGUCGGCUAGAACGCGCCCGACGGUGAGGGAUGAAAGCUGGGGGAGCGAACCGGAUUAGAUACCCCUGUA